AGAGUUUGAUCAUGGCUCAGAAUCAACGCUGGCGGCGUGCCUAACACAUGCAAGUCGAACGCGGUUAGUAGCAAUACUAACUGAGUGGCGAACGGGUGAGUAACGCGUGGGUGACCUACCUUCGAGCGGGGGAUAACGUCCCGAAAGGGACGCUAAUACCGCAUGACAUCCUGCCUUUGAACAGGUGGAGAUCAAAGCUGGGGAUCGCAAGACCUAGCACUCGAGGAGGGGCCCGCGCCUGAUUAGCUAGUUGGUGAGGUAACGGCUCACCAAGGCUUCGAUCAGUAUCCGGCCUGAGAGGGCGGACGGACACACUGGGACUGAGACACGGCCCAGACUCCUACGGGAGGCAGCAGUGGGGAAUAUUGCGCAAUGGGCGAAAGCCUGACGCAGCCACGCCGCGUGAGCGAUGAAGGUCUUCGGAUCGUAAAGCUCUGUGGGGAGAGAAGAAUCAAGCCGGUGAAGAGCCGGCCCUGACGGUAUCUCCUUAGCAAGCACCGGCUAACUCCGUGCCAGCAGCCGCGGUAAUUC
This 531-nucleotide ribosomal RNA is filed under the name uncultured bacterium. RNAcentral describes it as "bacterial SSU rRNA". It matches the Rfam family "Bacterial small subunit ribosomal RNA", at positions 8 to 526 of the family's 1533-position model. The record is from RNAcentral.